RNAcentral lists this ribosomal RNA (119 nucleotides) under Pteropus alecto (black flying fox). Lineage: Eukaryota; Metazoa; Chordata; Mammalia; Chiroptera; Pteropodidae. The record is from RNAcentral.
ACGUAGGGCCAUGCCACCCUGAACAUGCCCAAUCUCAUCUGAUCUCAGAAGCUAAGCAGGGUCAGGCCUGGUUAGUAUUUGGAUGGGAGACCACCUAGGAAUAUCAGGUGCUGUAGGCA